Pelodiscus sinensis (Chinese soft-shelled turtle) is the source of this 911-nucleotide non-coding RNA. Lineage: Eukaryota; Metazoa; Chordata; Testudines; Trionychidae. The record is from RefSeq and is a predicted model, not a curated record.
CCAGGUCCCUUCCAUUGACAAGAAGUUAGGGAGCAGGCCAAGCAAAGUUCCUGGUGGGUUAGCUCUCAACCCCGCCCCUUCUGCCUGAGGCCCCACCUCUUCCAGGUUGGCCUGCAGCCACUUCCAAAAUUUAUGAAGUAGCCCCCCUUCCAAAAUUAUUGCCCACCUCUAGUUUGGAUUAGCCAAUAGUUGCACAUGUCCAUUGAAAUUGCAUUAUCCAUAGAAAUGUCAUAAACAAGCAGUUGCAGGAAGUUAGCCAACUCGUGACUAGCCACCAACCCUCCUGCAAGUUCUCUUUCAAUACAUUUACCCUUCUGGCUCUCUUGAAAGAGGGAAGACAAAGCUUUGAGAAGCUGCAUUGAAACAUUAGACAAUGUCCCAGACAGUGAUCGUCCAGCAACCUGCCUCCAUGGGUUCUGCCGUCAUGUCCCCAACAGGUGACUGGAGCACCGGGAGGUAUGAAUGUUUUGCGGAUUGUGCCACAUGCUGCUUGGGGACUUUUUGCCCAACAAUUCUGGCAUGUUACAUGGCAAACAAGUAUGGAGAGAAUUGCUGCCUUGGGAUCACUCCUGGAGGCAUGACAGCAAUGCGAACACACAUGCGCCUCUCUUAUGGCAUCCAGGGAACUAUCUGCAGAGAUGUACUGGCAAUGUGCUUUUGUGGCCCCUGUGAGCUAUGCAGAAUGGCUCGUGAAAUGAACAUCCGCUGUCCGCAUUAAAGAGCACUGCGAAGAGGUCACUCAGUGGAUGAAAUCCCAGGCACACCAUUUCCGCUUCCCUAGUAAAGGACAUCAACUGUAGUGUGACUGCCCAAAAGAUCUCGCUUCAUGGUCGAAGACCCAGAGCCCCCAGUGCAGUUCUGAUGAGUGGGGUGCCCUAUUUCCAUUAAAGGACAUAGCUGAGAGAAUAAAA